This 356-nucleotide unclassified non-coding RNA is filed under the name Cynanchum falcatum. Its description in RNAcentral is "contains 5' external transcribed spacer, ETS". The record is from RNAcentral. Lineage: Eukaryota; Viridiplantae; Streptophyta; Magnoliopsida; Gentianales; Apocynaceae.
UCAAGUGCGGCAUAGACCCUUGGCCCGAGACCCGGUUUCUUGCGUUGCGUACCUUGACGAUGGCAUUUGUUUUUGUCCCAACGACCCUCGCUCGUCGAGCGCUCCCCUUUUUGUUGGGGGCACGAGGCGAAACUUGUAGCUCGGUCCGUUACCCGCGUCGCUUCCGGCUGUCGCGGUGAACGGGGCGCUGCUUAAGCUCUCGGAUAUGGAAAGCGUCGAGGGCAUUGACGUCUCGUCCUUGCCCGAGCAUGCAUUAGUUGGACCCCAACACCGGUGCACGACUGUCGCUCCCGCCUCGGCUCGGCCGUGCGGGCUGGACGUCGCUGAGGGAUGCUACCUGGUUGAUCCUGCCAGUA